ACGUGAUCGUCCCCUGAUGUAAAACUAGGUAGGCCGUUCUUGUUAGAUAAGAUGUAAAGUGCAUAUAUUCCUAUAUAUACACAACUAUAUGUAGCCUUCAUUUGACAAUUGUGUGGUGUAGUUUUCCUGGCACGUACAGUAUGAAGAAUCUCUUGCUGCUUUUCCUCGUCGGAAUGGCUGCUGCUGCAGUCACCGCCAACGAAUGUAUCUCGUUUAACGACUGUACAGAGCCCUGUCCUAACACCAACCAGUUCGCAAUAUGUCAGUACGUAUCUGGACACAACCAGUGUGUUUGCAUCACCAUCACCGGAAAAAAAAGAAGGUGAUCCGAUUUUGCCGCCACUAUAGAAUGUAAUGAAUUUGUAUUCAAAUAAAUGUCUCCACUGUAAUCACAAA
This is a long non-coding RNA of Ostrea edulis (European flat oyster), 396 nucleotides long. RefSeq lists it as uncharacterized. The record is from RefSeq and is a predicted model, not a curated record. The transcript is spliced from 3 exons. NCBI's taxonomy places the organism in Eukaryota, Metazoa, Mollusca, Bivalvia, Ostreida, Ostreidae.